This 119-nucleotide ribosomal RNA is filed under the name Pteropus alecto (black flying fox). RNAcentral also lists the same sequence under 1 other name. Lineage: Eukaryota; Metazoa; Chordata; Mammalia; Chiroptera; Pteropodidae. The record is from RNAcentral.
GUCUACAGCCAUGCCACCCUGAACAUGCCCAAUCUCGUCUGAUCCCGGAAGCUAAGCAGGGUUAGGCCUGGUUAGUACUUGAAUGGGAGACCACCUUGGAAUACCAGGUGCUGUAGGCG